This 253-nucleotide ribosomal RNA is filed under the name uncultured prokaryote. RNAcentral's name for it is "partial 16S ribosomal RNA". It matches the Rfam family "Bacterial small subunit ribosomal RNA", at positions 524 to 777 of the family's 1533-position model. The record is from RNAcentral.
UACAGAGGGUGCAAGCGUUAAUCGGAAUUACUGGGCGUAAAGCGAGCGUAGGUGGCUUGAUAAGUCAGAUGUGAAAUCCCCGGGCUUAACCUGGGACUGCAUCUGAUACUGUUAGGCUAGAGUAGGUGAGAGGAAGGUAGAAUUCCAGGUGUAGCGGUGAAAUGCGUAGAGAUCUGGAGGAAUACCGAUGGCGAAGGCAGCCUUCUGGCAUCAUACUGACACUGAGGUUCGAAAGCGUGGGUAGCAAACAGGA